RNAcentral lists this transfer RNA (68 nucleotides) under Stictochironomus juncaii. RNAcentral's name for it is "tRNA-Leu". Lineage: Eukaryota; Metazoa; Arthropoda; Insecta; Diptera; Chironomidae. The record is from RNAcentral.
ACUAUUUUGGCAGAUAAAGUGUAUUAAAUUUAGAAUUUAAGUAUAUAGAAGUUUUUCUAUAAAUAGUA